This 75-nucleotide transfer RNA is filed under the name Massilia sp. Mn16-1_5. RNAcentral's name for it is "tRNA-Cys". It matches the Rfam family "tRNA". From Rfam's summary of the family: Transfer RNA (tRNA) molecules are approximately 80 nucleotides in length. The record is from RNAcentral. Lineage: Bacteria; Pseudomonadati; Pseudomonadota; Betaproteobacteria; Burkholderiales; Oxalobacteraceae.
GGCGAGGUAGCAAAGUGGUUAUGCAGCGGCCUGCAAAGCCGCCCAGACGGUGUUCGACUCCCGUCCUCGCCUCCA